RNAcentral lists this ribosomal RNA (234 nucleotides) under uncultured bacterium. RNAcentral describes it as "partial 16S ribosomal RNA". It matches the Rfam family "Bacterial small subunit ribosomal RNA", at positions 15 to 244 of the family's 1533-position model. The record is from RNAcentral.
GAUCAUGGCUCAGGACGAACGCUGGCGGCGCGCCUAACACAUGCAAGUCGAACGAGAGAUGAGGAGCUUGCUCUUCAAAUCGAGUGGCGAACGGGUGAGUAACGCGUGAGGAACCUGCCUCAAAGAGGGGGACAACAGUUGGAAACGACUGCUAAUACCGCAUAAGCCCACGGCUCGGCAUCGAGCAGGGGGAAAAGGAGCAAUCCGCCUUGAGAUGGCCUCGCGUCCGAUUAG